AUGGCCAUAGCAAUGCCAGCCCCAGCUGCAGCUUGCUCGCUUCUUCUGCUUCUCCUUGUGGUGGCGGCGCCGGUGGCCGCCCGGAAUCCCAAGAUCGAUGAGUGUGUCAUCCAUGAUGUCCGUUGGGCCGCUUGGGCCGACCCGGAGCAGUUGACGGAGGGCCUCGGCAUCCCGGAGCGCACGUUCAGCGCCUUCAUCUUCGACCUCUCCGUCGGGCGGCAGGCCCUCUCGGUCGUCAUGGACAUCUCCAGCGAGCUCGUCUGGGUGCAGUGCUCGCCCGGGCUCAGGCCCACGCCCACCUUCCUGCCCGACCACUCCGGCUCCUUCGCCCCGGUCGCCCCCUGCCCAUCAUUCGUGCGCAACAACUCUGGCUCCUUUGGCCAGAUCCACUACGCCGACCGGACCUGCAACCCCGGCGACCACGGCUGCGAAGCCCGCUGCGGGUACGUGGAGCACAUCUACGGCGCCGGCAACACGUCCGGCUACCUCGCCACCGACAGGUUCGGUUUGGGGAACACGAAGGUCAGCGGCAUGGUGUUCGGCUGCAGCUGCAGCCACAACGUCACGAUGUUGAGCGACCUCGACGGAGCUUCCGGCUUUCGGAUUCAGCAGGGGCCCCCUCUCCCUCGUGUCGCAGCUCCAGAUCUCAAGGUUCUCCUACUUCACCACGCUCCCCGGCGACCCCGACAACAGCAAGGCCUUCGUUAG
This 708-nucleotide ribosomal RNA is filed under the name Triticum aestivum (bread wheat). RNAcentral's name for it is "partial small subunit ribosomal RNA". The record is from RNAcentral. Lineage: Eukaryota; Viridiplantae; Streptophyta; Magnoliopsida; Poales; Poaceae.